UUGGAGGGCAAGUCUGGUGCCAGCAGCCGCGGUAAUUCCAGCUCCAAUAGCGUAUAUUAAAGUUGUUGCAGUUAAAAAGCUCGUAGUUGAACUUCAGACCUGGCCGGGCGGUCCGCUUAACGGCGUGUACUGUCUGGCUGGGUCUUACCUCUUGGUGAACCGGCGCGCCCUUUAUUGGUGUGCGUCGGGGAACCAGGACUUUUACCUUGAGAAAAUUAGAGUGUUCAAAGCAGGCAUAUGCCUGAAUACAUUAGCAUGGAAUAAUAAAAUAGGACGUGCGGUUCUAUUUUGUUGGUUUCUAGAGUCGCCGUAAUGAUUAAUAGGGAUAGUUGGGGACAUUGGUAUUGAGUCGCUAGAGGUGAAAUUCUUGGAUUGACUCAAGACCAACUACUGCGAAAGCAUUUGUCAAGGAUGUUUUCAUUAAUCAAGAACGAAGGUUAGGGGAUCGAAAACGAUCAGAUACCGUUGUAGUCUUAACAGUAAACUAUGCCGACUAGGGAUCGGAUGACCUCAAUUUUGAUGUGUCAUUCGGCGCCUUACGGGAAAC
Molecule: ribosomal RNA, 547 nt
Filed under: uncultured Aphyllophorales
Lineage: Eukaryota; Fungi; Basidiomycota; Agaricomycetes; Polyporales
Description: SSU rRNA
Rfam family: Eukaryotic small subunit ribosomal RNA
Source: RNAcentral